CGUUCUGUAAGCCUGCGAAGGUGUGCUGUGAGGCAUGCUGGAGGUAUCAGAAGUGCGAAUGCUGACAUAAGUAACGAUAAAGCGGGUGAAAAGCCCGCUCGCCGGAAGACCAAGGGUUCCUGUCCAACGUUAAUCGGGGCAGGGUGAGUCGACCCCUAAGGCGAGGCCGAAAGGCGUAGUCGAUGGGAAACAGGUUAAUAUUCCUGUACUUGGUGUUACUGCGAAGGGGGGACGGAGAAGGCUAUGUUGGCCGGGCGACGGUUGUCCCGGUUUAAGCGUGUAGGCUGGUUUUCCAGGCAAAUCCGGAAAAUCAAGGCUGAGGCGUGAUGACGAGGCACUACGGUGCUGAAGCAACAAAUGCCCUGCUUCCAGGAAAAGCCUCUAAGCAUCAGGUAACAUCAAAUCGUACCCCAAACCGACACAGGUGGUCAGGUAGAGAAUACCAAGGCGCUUGAGAGAACUCGGGUGAAGGAACUAGGCAAAAUGGUGCCGUAACUUCGGGAGAAGGCACGCUGAUAUGUAGGUGAAGUCCCUCGCGGAUGGAGCUGAAAUCAGUCGAAGAUACCAGCUGGCUGCAACUGUUUAUUAAAAACACAGCACUGUGCAAACACGAAAGUGGACGUAUACGGUGUGACGCCUGCCCGGUGCCGGAAGGUUAAUUGAUGGGGUCAGCGCAAGCGAAGCUCUUGAUCGAAGCCCCGGUAAACGGCGGCCGUAACUAUAACGGUCCUAAGGUAGCGAAAUUCCUUGUCGGGUAAGUUCCGACCUGCACGAAUGGCGUAAUGAUGGCCAGGCUGUCUCCACCCGAGACUCAGUGAAAUUGAACUCGCUGUGAAGAUGCAGUGUACCCGCGGCAAGACGGAAAGACCCCGUGAACCUUUACUAUAGCUUGACACUGAACAUUGAGCCUUGAUGUGUAGGAUAGGUGGGAGGCUUUGAAGUGUGGACGCCAGUCUGCAUGGAGCCGACCUUGAAAUACCACCCUUUAAUGUUUGAUGUUCUAACGUUGACCCGUGAUCCGGGUUGCGGACAGUGUCUGGUGGGUAGUUUGACUGGGGCGGUCUCCUCCUAAAGAGUAACGGAGGAGCACGAAGGUUGGCUAAUCCUGGUCGGACAUCAGGAGGUUAGUGCAAUGGCAUAAGCCAGCUUGACUGCGAGCGUGACGGCGCGAGCAGGUGCGAAAGCAGGUCAUAGUGAUCCGGUGGUUCUGAAUGGAAGGGCCAUCGCUCAACGGAUAAAAGGUACUCCGGGGAUAACAGGCUGAUACCGCCCAAGAGUUCAUAUCGACGGCGGUGUUUGGCACCUCGAUGUCGGCUCAUCACAUCCUGGGGCUGAAGUAGGUCCCAAGGGUAUGGCUGUUCGCCAUUUAAAGUGGUACGCGAGCUGGGUUUAGAACGUCGUGAGACAGUUCGGUCCCUAUCUGCCGUGGGCGCUGGAGAACUGAGGGGGGCUGCUCCUAGUACGAGAGGACCGGAGUGGACGCAUCACUGGUGUUCGGGUUGUCAUGCCAAUGGCACUGCCCGGUAGCUAAAUGCGGAAGAGAUAAGUGCUGAAAGCAUCUAAGCACGAAACUUGCCCCGAGAUGAGUUCUCCCUGACUCCUUGAGAGUCCUGAAGGAACGUUGAAGACGACGACGUUGAUAGGCCGGGUGUGUAAGCGCAGCGAUGCGUUGAGCUAACCGGUACUAAUGAACCGUGAG
Molecule: ribosomal RNA, 1699 nt
Filed under: Escherichia coli
Lineage: Bacteria; Pseudomonadati; Pseudomonadota; Gammaproteobacteria; Enterobacterales; Enterobacteriaceae
Description: partial 23S ribosomal RNA
Rfam family: Bacterial large subunit ribosomal RNA
Source: RNAcentral